ACCGGAUCAGCACUUCCUUUCUCUCUGAGGCACGUCAGCUUUGACAGGCCUGUUCUGACCUUCCUGUUAAAGGCAGGAGAGCUUUCGAGUUCAGACUUCAAGACGCCUGCACCCAUUAUAUUAAAAUCUGGUCACUGGAACCCGAAAUCGUGGGGAAACAACAGGGAGUGGAUAGGUUGUAGCUACCUACCAGAACCCUCUUAUCCAUGAUGCCUUCAAUUGCUCCCCAUGACAGGAAGGCCAGUUCUGAGUGAAAGGUGAUUUGAGAGAUGCCACGACCGCCUUUUCGCAGUGCCUGGAGGCUGUGGGGGUCUGGAUGAACCCUGGUAAGACAGAGUGGC
Molecule: long non-coding RNA, 341 nt
Organism: Python bivittatus (Burmese python)
Lineage: Eukaryota; Metazoa; Chordata; Lepidosauria; Squamata; Pythonidae
Source: RefSeq, a predicted model, not a curated record